AUGGCUGUCGUCAGCUCGUGUCGUGAGAUGUUGGGUUAAGUCCCGCAACGAGCGCAACCCUUAUCAUUAGUUGCUACGCAAGGGCACUCUAAUGAGACUGCCGGUGACAAACCGGAGGAAGGUGGGGAUGACGUCAGGUCAUCAUGGCCCUUAUGGGUAGGGCUACACACGUCAUACAAUGGCCGGUACAGAGGGCUGCCAACCCGCGAGGGGGAGCUAAUCUCAGAAAACCGGUCGUAGUCCGGAUCGUAGUCUGCAACUCGACUGCGUGAAGUCGGAAUCGCUAGUAAUCGCGGAUCAGCUUGCCGCGGUGAAUACGUUCCCGGGUCUUGUACACACCGCCCGUCACACCAUGGGAGCGGGUUCUGCCAGAAGUAGUUAGCCUAACCGCAAGGGGGACGCUUACCACGGAGUGGUCAAUGACUGGGGUGAAGUCGUAACAAGGUAGCCGUAUCGGAAGGUGCGGCUGGAUCACCUCCUUUCGAGAACGACUUCAUACUUCCUCCCAAGGUCCCCACACAAGACACCUGCAUGUCCAGAAAAAGCACGUCCCAACGGGGCUGUAGCUCAGCUGGGAGAGCACCGCGUUUGCAACGCGGGGGUCACCGGUUCGAUCCCGGUCAGCUCCACCAGAUCUAAGAUCUUUGGGUCUGUAGCUCAGGUGGUUAGAGCGCGCCCCUGAUAAGGGCGAGGUCGGUGGUUCGAGUCCUCCCAGACCCACCAAGUCUUCUGGAUAUGUCUGCGUACACUAAAAGAAUCUGAAACUGGCCUGACGUUGAGGUUUGGCCGGUGUUCUUUGACAAUUUGGGACGUAACAAGCGUCUGAACUCUCAACCGAGUUUAGAUGUGUCGUUGAGGCAAAUAGGCGAAAUAUUGAGAGUUGGUCGGUAACCUGAAACAGCUUCGGGUUAUAUGAUCAAGCGAAUAAGCGUCUACGGUGGAUGCCUUGGCGGUCAGAGGCGAUGAAGGACGUGGCAGCCUGCGAAAAGCGUGGGGGAGCUGGCAACAAGCAUUGAUCCCGCGAUGUCCGAAUGGGGAAACCCGG
RNAcentral lists this small RNA (1045 nucleotides) under uncultured Methylibium sp. RNAcentral describes it as "bacterial SSU rRNA". The stretch from base 1 to 482 matches the Rfam family "Bacterial small subunit ribosomal RNA", at positions 1045 to 1533 of the family's 1533-position model. The record is from RNAcentral. Lineage: Bacteria; Pseudomonadati; Pseudomonadota; Betaproteobacteria; Burkholderiales; Sphaerotilaceae.